AUAGGCUCCAAUCGAAGCUGAAGUGAAGCCGUUUCAGAACAUUUUGCUCUACAUAUUUGAGUUGUUUGCCAUGCUUGGAUAUGCUUGUGAAGAUGGAAUAUGGGGGAGAGCAGAAGUGCGUUGAAGUUCCACAAAGGGAUGAAUGAAGGACAUGCAUAUUGUAUUGAAGAAAUAAGUGAUGAGAAAGCUGGUUUUUGCAUUUACCAUGUCAGACCUUUUGAUAAACAAAAUUCUAAUGAAAAAACCUAGGAUCACUGGACUAAAUGACUACAGACCCGUGGCUCUGACAUCUGUAGUCAUGAAGUCUUUUGAGCGCCUGGUUCUCUCCUAUCUCAAGACCCUCACGGCCCCCCUCCUGGACCCCCUGCAGUUUGCAUACAGAGCCAACAGGUCUGUAGAUGACGCCAUCAACAUGGCCCUACACUUCAUCCUGCAGCAUCUGGACUCCCCAGGAACCUACGCCAGGAUCCUGUUUGUGGACUUCAGCUCUGCCUUCAAUACCAUCCUUCCAGACCAUCUCCAAGGCAAGCUUUCCCAGAU
This is a long non-coding RNA of Astatotilapia calliptera (eastern happy), 540 nucleotides long. The record is from Ensembl. NCBI's taxonomy places the organism in Eukaryota, Metazoa, Chordata, Actinopteri, Cichliformes, Cichlidae.